GAUGAACGCUGGCGGCGUGCCUAAUACAUGCAAGUCGAGCGAACAGACGAGGAGCUUGCUCCUCUGUCGUUAGCGGAGGACGGGUGAGUAACACGUGGAUAACGUACCUAUCAGACUGGGAUAACUUCGGGAAACCGGAUCUAAUACCGGAUGAUAUAUUGAACCGCGUGGUUCAAUAGUGAAAGACGGUUUUGCGGUAAGUUAUAGAUGGUUACGCGCCGCAUUAGCUAGUUGGUAAGGUACAAGCUUACCAAGGGUACGAUGCGUGACCGACGUCAGAGGCUGGUCGGCCACACGGGAACGUGGACACGCACAAGACGCCUACGAGAGGCAGCAGUAGCGAAUGUGACGCAAUGGUCGAGAGCCUGACGGAGCAACGCCGCGUGAGUGAUGAAGGUCUUCGGAGCGGAAAACUCUGUUAUUAGGGAAGAACAAAUGUGUAAGUAACUGUGCACGUCUUGACGGUACCGAGUCAGAAAGCCACGGCUAACUACGUG
RNAcentral lists this ribosomal RNA (497 nucleotides) under uncultured bacterium. Its description in RNAcentral is "partial 16S ribosomal RNA". It matches the Rfam family "Bacterial small subunit ribosomal RNA", at positions 28 to 507 of the family's 1533-position model. The record is from RNAcentral.